Non-coding RNA from Paramuricea clavata, 498 nucleotides. The record is from the annotation of a GenBank genome assembly. Lineage: Eukaryota; Metazoa; Cnidaria; Anthozoa; Malacalcyonacea; Plexauridae.
UGUUUCUAUAUUCUAUGAUGACGUCAUACACGGAAAAUAAAUCGGGCUUAAACGAAAAAAAUCAAUAAAUAGCCGGAAGUUGUUCACAAACUGCUGAGCCAUUAUUCAUUUACAUAUAGUAUGUAUAUGGAAAGCCGAAGCACAGAAUAUUAAAGAUGAGUAACAGAAGAGCCACUCAGCGGUGCAACGUGUCCUCGUUUUUUUAUGCAAAAAUAUGCAGUUUACUGGCCAGAAGGCGGAGCAGCCAGCCAGUACAGCGUGUUUAUUGGCCAGAAAAUGUCAUUGACAGGCUAGGAAAAUGGCGGCCAACAUGCGUAAUGCGACAUGCGCGAGGACAAAAACUUCAAAGCUUCCGACGUAUCUUUAUUCUAUGGCCGAAGGUUGGCCUGAUACGGAAGUAAAAAAAAUAGAGUAUUUUCGUUGGUUGUUCCCCAAAUAUGGGCAACUAGACAAUAUAAAUUUCUUGCUUUCCUUUUACGGUUUUAUGGUUAUAGGGAG